GCUGGGGUUGCCGAGCCUGGAAAGGCGCUGGCCUUGAGAGCCAGUGGCAUUUGCCACGCGGGUUCGAAUCCCGCCCCCAGCA
This 82-nucleotide transfer RNA is filed under the name Candidatus Thorarchaeota archaeon. RNAcentral's name for it is "tRNA-Ser". It matches the Rfam family "tRNA". From Rfam's summary of the family: Transfer RNA (tRNA) molecules are approximately 80 nucleotides in length. Their secondary structure includes four short double-helical elements and three loops (D, anti-codon, and T loops). The record is from RNAcentral. RNAcentral also lists the same sequence under 1 other name. Lineage: Archaea; Promethearchaeati; Candidatus Thorarchaeota.